UGGCUCAGGAUGAACGCUAGCUACAGGCUAACACAUGCAAGUCGAGGGCAGCAUGUGGUUGCUUGCAACCAAUGAUGGCGACCGGCGCACGGGUGAGUAACGCGUAUCCAACCUUCCCUAUAGUAGAGGAUAGCCCGGCGAAAGUCGGAUUAAUACUCUAUGUUUUCCAAUGCAGACAUCUAAAAUGGAACAAAGGUUCACCGCUAUAGGAUGGGGAUGCGUCUGAUUAGAUAGUCGGCGGGGUAACGGCCCACCGAGUCGACGAUCAGUAGGGUUCUGAGAGGAAGGUCCCCCACAUUGGAACUGAGACACGGUCCAAACUCCUACGGGAGGCAGCAGUGAGGAAUAUUGGUCAAUGGGCGAGAGCCUGAACCAGCCAAGUAGCCGUGCAGGAUGACGGCCCUAUGGGUUGUAAACUGCUUUUAUACAGGGAUAAAGUGACGUACGUGUACGUUUUUGUAGGUACUGUAUGAAUAAGGACCGGCUAAUUCCGUGCCAGCCGCUGC
This 506-nucleotide ribosomal RNA is filed under the name uncultured bacterium. RNAcentral describes it as "bacterial SSU rRNA". It matches the Rfam family "Bacterial small subunit ribosomal RNA", at positions 20 to 518 of the family's 1533-position model. The record is from RNAcentral.